CAACAGGGAUUGCCCUAGUAACGGCGAGUGAAGCGGCAACAGCUCAAAUUUGAAAUCUGGCUCUUUUAGAGUCCGAGUUGUAAUUUGCAGAGGGCGCUUUGGCGUUGGCAGCGGUCCAAGUUCCUUGGAACAGGACGUCACAGAGGGUGAGAAUCCCGUACGUGGUCGCUAACCUUCGCCGUGUAAAGCCCCUUCGACGAGUCGAGUUGUUUGGGAAUGCAGCUCUAAAUGGGAGGUAAAUUUCUUCUAAAGCUAAAUACUGGCCAGAGACCGAUAGCGCACAAGUAGAGUGAUCGAAAGAUGAAAAGCACUUUGGAAAGAGAGUCAAAUAGCACGUGAAAUUGUUGAAAGGGAAGCGCUUGCAGCCAGACUUGCCUGUAGUUGCUCAUCCGGACUUUUGUCCGGUGCACUCUUCUGCGGGCAGGCCAGCAUCAGUUUGGGCGGUUGGAUAAAGAACUCCAUCACGUACCACCUUUCGGGGUGGCCUUAUAGGGGAGUUGUCACACAACCAGCCUGGACUGAGGUCCGCGCAUCUGCUAGGAUGCUGGCGUAAUGGCUGUAAGCGGCCCGUCUUGAAACACGGACCAAGGAGUCUAACAUCUAUGCGAGUGUUUGGGUGUCAAGCCCGAGCGCGCAAUGAAAGUGAACGGAGGUGGGAACCCUUAAGGGUGCACCAUCGACCGAUCCUGAUGUCUUCGGAUGGAUUUGAGUAAGAGCAUGGCUGUUGGGACCCGAAAGAUGGUGAACUAUGCUUGAAUAGGGUGAAGCCAGAGGAAACUCUGGUGGAGGCUCGCAGCGGUUCUGACGUGCAAAUCGAUCGUCAAAUUUGGGCAUAGGGGCGAAAGACUAAUC
This 852-nucleotide ribosomal RNA is filed under the name Ascomycota sp. BR159. RNAcentral describes it as "eukaryotic LSU rRNA". It matches the Rfam family "Eukaryotic large subunit ribosomal RNA", at positions 66 to 936 of the family's 3401-position model. Lineage: Eukaryota; Fungi; Ascomycota. The record is from RNAcentral.